AACAAGGCCUUUUUAAAGGCCAACUUUAGUAGUAAAAUGUCAAUU
Non-coding RNA from Lucilia cuprina (Australian sheep blowfly), 45 nucleotides. Lineage: Eukaryota; Metazoa; Arthropoda; Insecta; Diptera; Calliphoridae. The record is from Rfam.